This 428-nucleotide ribosomal RNA is filed under the name uncultured bacterium. RNAcentral's name for it is "bacterial SSU rRNA". It matches the Rfam family "Bacterial small subunit ribosomal RNA", at positions 8 to 429 of the family's 1533-position model. The record is from RNAcentral.
AGAGUUUGAUCCUGGCUCAGGACGAACGCUGGCGGCGCGCUUAAUACAUGCAAGUCGAGCGAGAACCAUGGCUUCGGCCAUGGGGACAGCGGCGAACGGGUGAGUAACACGUGGGUAAUCAACCCUCGACACUGGGAUAGCCCGGGGAAACCCGGAUUAAUACCGGAUGUCCCAUCUGGCCUUCGGGCCGGCUGGAAAAGGUAGCUUCGGCCUCCGGUCGGGGACGAGCCCGCGGCGGAUUAGCUUGUUGGUGAGGUAACGGCCCACCAAGGCGACGAUCCGUAGCUGGUCUGAGAGGACGAUCAGCCACACUGGGACUGAGACACGGCCCAGACUCCUACGGGAGGCAGCAGUAGGGAAUCUUGCGCAAUGGGCGAAAGCCUGACGCAGCGACGCCGCGUGAGGGAAGAAGGCCUUAGGGUUGUAAA